RNAcentral lists this ribosomal RNA (460 nucleotides) under uncultured bacterium. RNAcentral's name for it is "partial 16S ribosomal RNA". It matches the Rfam family "Bacterial small subunit ribosomal RNA", at positions 338 to 795 of the family's 1533-position model. The record is from RNAcentral.
CCUACGGGAGGCAGCAGUGAGGAAUAUUGGUCAAUGGACGAGAGUCUGAACCAGCCAAGUCGCGUGAAGGAUGACUGCCCUAUGGGUUGUAAACUUCUUUUAUAUGGGAAUAAAAUGUUCCACGUGUGGGAUUUUGUAUGUACCAUAUGAAUAAGGAUCGGCUAACUCCGUGCCAGCAGCCGCGGUAAUACGGAGGAUCCGAGCGUUGUCCGGAUUUAUUGGGUUUAAAGGUGGCGUAGGUGGAUUGGUAAGUCAGUUGUGAAAGUUUGCGGCUCAACCGUAAAAUUGCAGUUGAAACUGGGAGUCUAGAGUAAAGUAGAGGGAGGCGGAAUUCGUGGUGUAGCAGUGAAAUGCGUAGAUAUCACGAAGAACUCCGAUUGCGAAGGCAGCUUACUGGACUGCAACUGACGCUGAGGCACGAAAGUGUGGGGAUCAAACAGGAUUAGAUACCCGAGUAGUC